Molecule: ribosomal RNA, 565 nt
Filed under: Streptomyces sp.
Lineage: Bacteria; Bacillati; Actinomycetota; Actinomycetes; Kitasatosporales; Streptomycetaceae
Description: bacterial SSU rRNA
Rfam family: Bacterial small subunit ribosomal RNA
Source: RNAcentral
UGCAUGGCGCAGCUACAUCUGCCCCCCUUCCCUGGAAACGGGGUCUAAUACCGGAUAAAGACCCUCGCAGGCAUCUGCGAGGUUCGAAAGCUCCGGCGGUGCAGGAUGAGCCCGCGGCCUAUCAGCUUGUUGGUGAGGUAAUGGCUCACCAAGGCGACGACGGGUAGCCGGCCUGAAAGGGCGACCGGCCACACUGGGACUGAGACACGGCCCAGACUCCUACGGGAGGCAGCAGUGGGGAAUAUUGCACAAUGGGCGAAAGCCUGAUGCAGCGACGCCGCGUGAGGGAUGACGGCCUUCGGGUUGUAAACCUCUUUCAGCAGGGAAGAAGCGAAAGUGACGGUACCUGCAGAAGAAGCGCCGGCUAACUACGUGCCAGCAGCCGCGGUAAUACGUAGGGCGCAAGCGUUGUCCGGAAUUAUUGGGCGUAAAGAGCUCGUAGGCGGCUUGUCACGUCGGUUGUGAAAGCCCGGGGCUUAACCCCGGGUCUGCAGUCGAUACGGGCAGGCUAGAGUUCGGUAGGGGAGAUCGGAAUUCCUGGUGUAGCGGUGAAAUGCGCAGAUAU